AGAUUGAACGCUGGCGGCAUGCCUUACACAUGCAAGUCGAACGGCAGCACGGGAGCAAUCCUGGUGGCGAGUGGCGAACGGGUGAGUAAUAUAUCGGAACGUGCCCAGUCGUGGGGGAUAACGCAGUGAAAGCUGUGCUAAUACCGCAUACGAUCUAUGGAUGGAAAGGCGGGGACUCGCAAGAGCCUCGCGCGAUUGGAGCGGCCGAUAUCAGAUUAGCUAGUUGGUGGGUAAAACGCCCACAAGGCGACGACUCUGUAGCUGGUCUGGAGAGGACGACCAGCCACAGUAGGAACUGAGACACCGGUCCAGACUCCGUAGGGAGCAGC
This 329-nucleotide ribosomal RNA is filed under the name uncultured soil bacterium. Its description in RNAcentral is "bacterial SSU rRNA". It matches the Rfam family "Bacterial small subunit ribosomal RNA", at positions 26 to 352 of the family's 1533-position model. The record is from RNAcentral.